RNAcentral lists this microRNA precursor (97 nucleotides) under Populus trichocarpa (black cottonwood). Its description in RNAcentral is "miR7827 stem-loop (ptc-MIR7827)". The record is from miRBase by way of RNAcentral. Lineage: Eukaryota; Viridiplantae; Streptophyta; Magnoliopsida; Malpighiales; Salicaceae.
AGUGGAAUGAUUUGCUAGGACCAAGUUUUUUGGAAAAUGUUAAGAUUAAUUAAUCUUAACAUUUUCCAGAAAACUUGGUCCUAGCAAAAUAGCUUAC